UUGGACCUGAUAUCAGGCAAGAUUACCCGCUGAACUUAAGCAUACAAAGGGGGGGAAAAAAAA
Molecule: ribosomal RNA, 63 nt
Filed under: Phytophthora capsici
Lineage: Eukaryota; Oomycota; Peronosporomycetes; Peronosporales; Peronosporaceae
Description: partial 28S ribosomal RNA
Source: RNAcentral